GACGGAGGAUGCAAGCGUUAUCCGGAAUGAUUGGGCGUAAAGCGUCCGCAGGUGGCAGUUCAAGUCUGCUGUCAAAGACCGGGGCUUAACUUCGGAAAGGCAGUGGAAACUGAACAGCUAGAGUAUGGUAGGGGCAGAGGGAAUUCCUGGUGUAGCGGUGAAAUGCGUAGAGAUCAGGAAGAACAUCGGUGGCGAAGGCGGGUCUCUGGGCAACAACUGACGCUGAGGAGCGAAAGCGUGGGGAGCGAACAGG
This 253-nucleotide ribosomal RNA is filed under the name uncultured bacterium. RNAcentral's name for it is "partial 16S ribosomal RNA". It matches the Rfam family "Bacterial small subunit ribosomal RNA", at positions 524 to 776 of the family's 1533-position model. The record is from RNAcentral.